Molecule: microRNA precursor, 81 nt
Organism: Gorilla gorilla gorilla (western lowland gorilla)
Lineage: Eukaryota; Metazoa; Chordata; Mammalia; Primates; Hominidae
Source: Ensembl
UAUUAGGUUUGUGCAAAAGUAAUUGCGGUUCUUGCCCUUACUUUUAAUGGCAAAAGCCGCUAUAAUUUUUGCACCAACCUA